Molecule: ribosomal RNA, 253 nt
Filed under: uncultured bacterium
Lineage: Bacteria
Description: partial 16S ribosomal RNA
Rfam family: Bacterial small subunit ribosomal RNA
Source: RNAcentral
UACGUAGGGGGCAAGCGUUGUCCGGAAUCAUUGGGCGUAAAGCGCGCGUAGGCGGCCCUGUAAGUCCGCUGUGAAAGUCAAAGGCUCAACCUUUGAAAGCCGGUGGAUACUGGAUGGCUAGAGUACGGAAGAGGCGAGUGGAAUUCCUGGUGUAGCGGUGGAAUGCGCAGAUAUCAGGAGGAACACCAAUAGCGAAGGCAGCUCGCUGGGACGUUACUGACACUGAGGCGCGAAAGCGUGGGGAGCGAACAGG